AGCCACCUUCGGGUGGUGGACAGUGGCAGACGGGUGAGUAACGCGUGGGAACGUGCCUUUCGGUUCGGAAUAACCCAGGGAAACUUGGGCUAAUACCGGAUACGCCCUUCGGGGGAAAGAUUCAUUGCCGAAAGAUCGGCCCGCGUCGGAUUAGCUAGUUGGUGGGGUAAUGGCUCACCAAGGCGACGAUCCGUAGCUGGUCUGAGAGGAUGACCAGCCACACUGGGACUGAGACACGGCCCAGACUCCUACGGGAGGCAGCAGUAGGGAAUCUUCCGCAAUGGACGCAAGUCUGACGGAGCAACGCCGCGUGAGUGAUGAAGGUUUUCGGA
Molecule: ribosomal RNA, 332 nt
Filed under: uncultured bacterium
Lineage: Bacteria
Description: bacterial SSU rRNA
Rfam family: Bacterial small subunit ribosomal RNA
Source: RNAcentral